CAGCCGCGCGGUAAUACGUAGGUGGCAAGCGUUGUCCGGAAUUAUUGGGCGUAAAGGGCUCGCAGGCGGUUUCUUAAGUCUGAUGUGAAAGCCCCCGGCUCAACCGGGGAGGGUCAUUGGAAACUGGGAAACUUGAGUGCAGAAGAGGAGAGUGGAAUUCCACGUGUAGCGGUGAAAUGCGUAGAGAUGUGGAGGAACACCAGUGGCGAAGGCGACUCUCUGGUCUGUAACUGACGCUGAGGAGCGAAAGCGUGGGGAGCGAACAGGAUUAGAUACCCCUGUAGUCCCUGUCUCUUAUACA
Molecule: ribosomal RNA, 301 nt
Filed under: uncultured bacterium
Lineage: Bacteria
Description: partial 16S ribosomal RNA
Rfam family: Bacterial small subunit ribosomal RNA
Source: RNAcentral